AACCAUAGAAACCUGCGGAGUACCUGCGGAGGGAUCAUUAUAGUAUAUGGAAUCUCCAUUCUAUAAACCCACUCUGCGUAUCUUGUAACUGUUGCUUCCAUGGGACUUGGUUCCGCCACACCGGCUUCACGGCUGGUGAGCGCCCAUGGAAGGAGAAACAAAACUCUUCUUUGAAAUGUAGUCAGUCUGAACAAGUUUUUAUAGACGUUAAAACUUUUAACAAUGGAUCUCAGAUCGGAA
RNAcentral lists this unclassified non-coding RNA (240 nucleotides) under soil metagenome. RNAcentral describes it as "partial contains 5.8S ribosomal RNA, internal transcribed spacer 2, and large subunit ribosomal RNA". The record is from RNAcentral.